This 75-nucleotide transfer RNA is filed under the name Arthrobacter liuii. RNAcentral describes it as "tRNA-Arg". It matches the Rfam family "tRNA". Rfam says of the family: Transfer RNA (tRNA) molecules are approximately 80 nucleotides in length. Their secondary structure includes four short double-helical elements and three loops (D, anti-codon, and T loops). RNAcentral also lists the same sequence under 5 other names. The record is from RNAcentral. Lineage: Bacteria; Bacillati; Actinomycetota; Actinomycetes; Micrococcales; Micrococcaceae.
GCCUCAGUAGCUCAGGGGAUAGAGCAGCGGCCUUCUAAUCCGCCGGUCGGGGGUUCGAUUCCCUCCUGGGGCACC